Long non-coding RNA from Xenopus laevis (African clawed frog), 569 nucleotides. RefSeq lists it as uncharacterized. The transcript is spliced from 2 exons. Lineage: Eukaryota; Metazoa; Chordata; Amphibia; Anura; Pipidae. The record is from RefSeq and is a predicted model, not a curated record.
CCCAAACCAAAUCCUGGAUUCGGUGCAUCCUUGGAAAUCAUGAAGGCCAAUUGGAAAAUUGCUUAGAAUUAGCCCUAUUAUAUCAUAUAGGCUAUAAGCUCUUUGGGGCAGGGACGGGACGUCUAUAUUGAAACUCAUAAGGGCACCUGUCACUUGGAAAAUGUCAUCCCUAAUUCUACAAGACUAUGUCCUGUAACUGUCACUUACUCCUGGGCUGCGCAUUGGGUUGUCACUGGCCAGUAAAAAUGAUGGCUGAUCCCAAUGUUAUUAAUAGGGAAAAAAGAUUAAUAUAUAGGCUGGUGUUUUUUUCCAGAAAAGGUGGCAACCCUAUUGUCUAAUGCUGCAUUUCCUUUCACUAGACAUUCCCUUGUAUUUGCUCCUAGGAGCUAGGGAUGAUGGGAAUACCAAAUCCUUAACUCAUUAAAGAUGUUCCCAUUUUGCUGCCCUCCUGCCUUGGCCCUCAGGUUACCGAAGCCCCACUUAAAGAACUAAAGCCUAAGAACACCAGGGGGCGAACAUGAACUGCAAAUUGGGGGAAAGGCGCAUGUGCUAGUAGUGCAACAAACUGA